RNAcentral lists this ribosomal RNA (497 nucleotides) under uncultured bacterium. Its description in RNAcentral is "partial 16S ribosomal RNA". It matches the Rfam family "Bacterial small subunit ribosomal RNA", at positions 28 to 507 of the family's 1533-position model. The record is from RNAcentral.
GAUGAACGCUGGCGGCGUGCCUAAUACAUGCAAGUCGAGCGAACAGACGAGGAGCUUGCUCCUCUGACGUUAGCGGCGGACGGGUGAGUAACACGUGGAUAACCUACCUAUAAGACUGGGAUAACUUCGGGAAACCGGAGCUAAUACCUGAUAAUAUAUUGAACCGCAUGGUUCAAUAGUGAAAGACGGUUUUGCUGUCACUUAUAGAUGGAUCCGCGCCGCAUUAGCUAGUUGGUAAGGUAACGGCGUACCAAGGCAACGAUGCGUAGCCGACCUGAGAGGGUGAUCGGCCACACUGGAACUGAGACACGGUCCAGACUCCUACGGGAGGCAGCAGUAGGGAAUCUUCCGCAAUGGGCGAAAGCUUGACGGAACAACGCCGCGUGAGUGAUGAAGGUCUUCGGAUCGUAAAACUCUGUUAUUAGGGAAGAACAAAUGUGUAAGUAACUAUGCACGUCUUGACGGUACCUAAUCAGAAAGCCACGGCUAACUACGUG